UUCCCUUUAGUAAACCCUUAAGAACUGCAAAAGGAAUUGUACAGCUCCCCUUUUACAGGAGGAAUGAAAGCAGAGCAAUACCUUUUCUUCCAGGUAGUUUGGCGGUAUUGUUGCCAAGAGCAGGUACCAAUACUCCCGUAAUGAGUGGCAGCAGGAUGUUAAGAAUUAUAAGAGCAGUUGGGCCACCUGGAAGGCAGUCAGAAUUCAGUCUGCUAACUAGAUGAUCUCAACUCUGAGUUUUUGAUGCUGAAGGUCAGCUCGCUGCUGGAUGCAGGAUAGGCUUGUCUCUGGAAAGCAGUCAACACAUCAGCCCCUUAAUGGCAUUGAUGAUUAGUGAAGCACCAAGGGAAAAAUUAGAUUAGAAAAACAAAUGAAAAUAAUUUAGGAAGUACUGUUUAUCCUUUGUGGAAGACGCUGCCAUAUCCAGACUGCAGGAAACAAUUUGACUUCAAUCCAGAAGAAAAGGAGCCCCGGUCUGGAGUACAUUAGUGUGGUGGGAGGCCGGGAAUAGCAGCCACUUAACCCUGUCAUUCAGCAAACAUUAGUGAAUUAUGAGUGUAUUAUAUGUUGGGUUAUGUGUUUUGUGAAAUGCCUGGAGGCUUGCUAGAGCGGCACUAAAAUGCUAUUGGGCGUCUCUGUCAAAAUGUAAAUUUUUAUACCGACUCUGAAAUAAAAAUAAGAUUUCGUGUUCGCCUCCCAGCUACUGAAAUCAAAUCGCAGCCAAAGCCAGAGUUGUAAAAUAAGCAAAAAUUUCCCUUCCUGUCAAAUUAGUUCCCUGCUAAAGAAAACAAGUGAUAUAAAUGUGAUUUACUUCCUUUUCCUCCUGUCAUAAACAUUUAUGGCUGAGAAGUAACAAUGGGUUUAAAAAGGCAGUCACAGCUCUUUGAUUUUUUGUUUGCAGUGCAACCUGUGCUGGAGUUGGGUUUGAUAUAUGUAUAAAAAAGGAUCGAGCUACAUUCUGCUGAUAGGUGUGGGAAUUGUUUAUACCAGAUGGGACCUUUGGAGAUGCAGAUCCCUAACUGUGACAUUCCUGUAGAGUUCACUGGAGAAGAAAGAAUUCAACUAAGAGAAACAAUCUGAAGAAAGAAUCUUAUUCUCCCUUUUACCCAUAGUCUUUCCUGCACACCCCUCUCCUCAGAGAGCUAACUUAGCUCUGAUCCAUCCAUUCUGCACUACAGUGGAGAAGAAACUCAUCUAAAGGCAGACUAACAUGGACACCAGUGGUUCCUCUAGGGCUGAUCUCUUGCUUCAAUAGCGCACUCCCUACGGCAAAGGCAACUUCUCUAGUGAAAUCACUGGCUGGAUUGUACUGACAGUACAAAUUAACUAUUCACUAAACCGAAAAGCUGCUCCAGCGGUUUAGAGGAUCUGGCUAAUAAGGACACCUCUCAUCUAUACCUCCAGUCUAGAAAGAAAGGAUUUCAAGCAAGAAUGGUCUUGAAAAUUUGGGAGACCCCAAGAUAAGGAGACCACCACGGGGAGCAUGUGGCUAUAGGAUUGGGAAGUCCCUGUGCUACUGGACUGACAUUUUCUUAGCCAUCUUUGCAUCCCUCCACUGCCUCCCCCUUCUCGAUCACAUCAAACAUAAGCUACUUGUCUUCACUUUCAAGGCCCUUUACAGCCAAUCCCCAUGCUCUCUCUCAUUCACUAUCAAGAUGUCAACUCCCACUUCAGAUUAGCUCAUGAAGUCAGCACCUCCAUAGUUGGGGUUGGUCCUGCUUUGAGCUGGGGAUUGGACUAGAUGACCUCCUGAGGUCUCUUCCAACCCUAAUCUUCUAUGAUCAUGCAUUUGUUAAAUUUUCACACAAGUCCUUCCACGCUUUCUCCCACACUGCUCCACACCCAUGGGAGGCACGGUCUUUAAACAUCUGCAAAGCUACCUUGUUCUCCUCCUUCAAACGCUCCCUUGCUGUGAUGCUUACCAAAAACUUGACAAUAGUUAAGCAGCUGGUGUGCAGAGACCACUGCCCACCACACUGACCAAUACUGUCUCAUUGCUUUCCAGUACUCCCCUGGCUGUCUGCAUUGUAUCAUUUGUGGUCUCUUGCCUUAUACUUCGGUGGUAAGCUCUAUUUGUACAGUGCCUAGCACAGUGGGGUCCUGCCGUUUUACCAGGUACUCUAGUAAUACAAAUAAUAAAUAAGAAUAUAU
Chrysemys picta bellii (western painted turtle) is the source of this 2151-nucleotide non-coding RNA. NCBI's taxonomy places the organism in Eukaryota, Metazoa, Chordata, Testudines, Emydidae. The record is from RefSeq and is a predicted model, not a curated record.